GGGCAGACGAAAUUCUAAGCUGGAGACAGGCUGGAUUGGAAGCUAAUGCCCUGAGGGAGCAAAGGCUGAGAAGCAGCUUCCCAAACAGCCUCUUAUGGAGGAAAGCCCAGGCAAACACAAGGAUCAGCGUGAGCCAUUGAUGACAUAGUUCAGACCCAUUUCAGGAGCCCACAGUGUAUUGAGUUCUGUGAAGAAUGCCAAAAGUUGACCCCUGUGACAUGGACACACAUGGUAAUUGAAUCUGCCUCAGAGCGGCUGGUGAAUCCCCUACCUAUCCCCAGUGGACCAAGAGAGAAAACAACAGCAAGCUAAGCCAAUUGUUCCACCCCAUUUAGUAGCUACUCAGCUGUAUAUCUCCGAUCACUAGUGAUGCCACAACACAAGGAGGGUGAAGACAAGCAUACGCCUCCUCCAACACAUGUUUAGUCAGCCACCAGCAGCUAAUGGCAAGCUGCAUGACCGGGAUUCAAACCAGUGAUCGGUGCCCUGCGUCUUUAUUUCUACACUGGAGCUACAAGGUAAGCUUAUGGUGCAAGCUAACAAGUAAUAUAAUGUUUCUACAUUACCUGUAGUUA
This is a long non-coding RNA of Astyanax mexicanus (Mexican tetra), 575 nucleotides long. RefSeq lists it as uncharacterized. NCBI's taxonomy places the organism in Eukaryota, Metazoa, Chordata, Actinopteri, Characiformes, Acestrorhamphidae. The record is from RefSeq and is a predicted model, not a curated record. The transcript is spliced from 3 exons.